RNAcentral lists this ribosomal RNA (429 nucleotides) under Bacteroidota bacterium. Its description in RNAcentral is "Bacteroidetes bacterium partial 16S ribosomal RNA". It matches the Rfam family "Bacterial small subunit ribosomal RNA", at positions 355 to 776 of the family's 1533-position model. Lineage: Bacteria; Pseudomonadati; Bacteroidota. The record is from RNAcentral.
UAGGGAAUCUUCGGCAAUGGGGGGAACCCUGACCGAGCAACGCCGCGUGAGUGAAGAAGGUUUUCGGAUCGUAAAGCUCUGUUGUUAAGGAAGAACGAGUGUGAGAAUGGAAAGUUCAUACUGUGACGGUACUUAACCAGAAAGGGACGGCUAACUACGUGCCAGCAGCCGCGGUAAUACGUAGGUCCCGAGCGUUGUCCGGAUUUAUUGGGCGUAAAGCGAGAGCAGGCGGUUAGAUAAGUCUGAAGUUAAAGGCAGUGGCUCAACCAUUGUAGGCUUUGGAAACUGUUUAACUUGAGUGCAGAAGGGGAGAGUGGAAUUCCAUGUGUAGCGGUGAAAUGCGUAGAUAUAUGGAGGAACACCGGUGGCGAAAGCGGCUCUCUGGUCUGUAACUGACGCUGAGGUUCGAAAGCGUGGGUAGCAAACAGG